RNA transcript from Dermacentor silvarum, 2466 nucleotides. It is a transcript of the gene named putative sodium-dependent multivitamin transporter, with no coding region annotated. The record is from RefSeq and is a predicted model, not a curated record. NCBI's taxonomy places the organism in Eukaryota, Metazoa, Arthropoda, Arachnida, Ixodida, Ixodidae. The transcript has 17 exons.
CGCGGAGUACCGGGAUAUAUAUAUACACGGUGUCUCUGUGAUGGAUACCCCGCCGGUGCACGCUGUGGACUACGUCCUCCUAGUCGGGCUCACCGUGGUUAGCCUGGGCGCCGGUCUGUACCUGUCGGUGCGACGACGAAGCCGCAGCCGGGAUGAGGCCUUCCUGGGCGGCCGAAGCAUCCCAUCGCUGCCGCUGGCCAUCUCGGCGGUCGCGUCCAGCGUCACGGCCAUGAGCAUCAUCGCCUUCGUGGCCCACUACUACGUGUACGGCUUCCACACCCUGUGGGCCAUUCCGGCAUUCGUGCCGGCCGGCAUCGUGGUCACCACCGUGUUCCUGCCCGUCAUGUACGAACGGAGGGUCACGUCCAUAUUCGAGUACCUCCGCAUGCGAUACGGGAACAGCGUUGGAAUCGCCUCAUCCUUCAUAUAUUUCGUCCUAAGCCAAGCAUUAGGUGCAGUGGCCAUCUACAGCGCAGCAGUCGCCGUGUCCACGAUGCUCGGUCUGUCCCCGAUAAUUGCGAGCAUCAUUCUCGGAGUGUCUGGAACAGUUUACACUGCAUUGGGAGGUCUCCGGAGUGUCGUGUGGGCCGACUGCAUCCAGGGACUCAUCAUGACCGCCUCGCCACUCAUCAUCAUCGGAAAGAUAGUGUACGACUCUCUCUACAGCGAGGUUCCAAUGCGACCCCUGACAGACUUCAACAGCACCUUCUACUUCUGGGAAACCAAAUCUGACAUCACGACCGACGAGACUGUGUGGGCCGCUGCAAUCGGUGCUCUGCCCCUGCACCUCGUCAGGCUCGGUCUGGACCAAAUGAUCACGCAACGCUUUCUGGCGGCAAAGUCGCUGCGUGACGCCAAAGCAGUAGCAUUCUGCUGCAUCGGCAUUCUGUCGUUCUUCUACGCUCUCAACGGGAUAACGGCGCUGGCCAUAAUCUUCUGGUUCAGAGACUGCGACCCGGUCCUCACGGGAGACAUUCCACGCUACGAUCAGAUUGUACCUUACUACGUCAACAGGAGUGCGAGCGCACUGAUUGGAAUUAGGGGCCUCUUCUUGGCUGGUGUCAUCAGUGCGUCCAUAAGCACAAUAUCGUCUAUCGUCAAUUCCCAUGCGGCCGUUCUGUACGUUGACAUCGUGUCACCGUACAUCAAGAUACCCGAGGAUCGAUCGAGUCUUGUGAUGGCAGCUCUGGCGGCUGGGAGCGGUACCAUUAUGACCCUCACCGGACUACUGGUCCCUUACAUCGGAUCGGCUGCAAGGUUCUUCAUCGCACUAUAUGCCGCGGCGUCUGGACCAUUCGCGGGAAUAAUUAUCCUGGCCACCUGCUUCCCAUGGGCGAACGCAAAGGGCACUGCGACUGCGGCGUUGGGCGUCUUCCUGCUUCAAAUAUGGCAGACGGCCGGCCGGUUUGCGUCAAAGGUGGAAGCAGUUCGGAUGACCUACAGCGUGGACCGGUGUCCCGCCAACACCACCCUGGCCUUCAACGAAACCCUGCCUUACGUUCCCACGGACAGCCCCGACGUGUUUCCCAUGUACCGGCUGUCCGCCUACUGGUGCUGCCUGCUCGCCACCUUCCUGACGGUGUUCAUCGGUUUGGCACUCAGCGUCGUGUCAGCCCGAGCCAGCGACAACCUCGAGAAGAGCAUGAGCCUGUCAAGUCCCGUAGCCUUGAGGUUCUGGGCGUGGACCGGACUGCUUCCACGCAUAAAAAAGGAGCCUCUGCGAGUCACAGUGAACGACGGGAGCAUCAAGGCGUCUCCUUACGAGAUACAGCCACUGCAAUCAAACGGCGACGACAUCGACCUCUUGUCCAAGCCUACCGCCAAGAACGGACGACUACACGCGACGUGUACAGACCAGGGGGACAUGUAGAUAGAUCACAAUGGCCACACGCCACUUCACCGAACCUAUUUCGCAAGCACGUGCGCGUAGACUGCCUGUUCAUCGUGACGUGUUCUCAUCUGUAAAUAUCCUUUUAUCAGAAUGCUACAGGCCACUAGAUAUGUGGGUGGACGCUAUUUCUGGAAAUCGUUUACUGGGUACGCCUCCUUCUCUUUUAUUUUCUUGGUUGCUCUCUGACAAUAGUCAGUUCGAAAUUUUAAUUCAACUUGUUCUAGAAUCCGGCAGUCUCGUUGCAGUCAGACGACUCGCAAACUGGGCUUCUCUUGUUAGUUUUGUUUCUUGGGAAUUAUAAAUGUCGUGAGUAAUGGAACACCAUGCAUUCGACUUAAGAGUAAUACUUUACCCGUACUCACGUGGGUCGAAUUUCUAUAUAUUUAGCUUUGUCUCUCUGUUUUGUUUUCCAGUUCUUGUCUAUGCUUAUUAUGUUGGUGUCUCUGCGGUAUAUGUUUGUGCGCGUUGCACGCAGGGGGAAAGGGGGUAUCGUUGAUUCCUCACCUGUUCUUUGAGAUAACCAGUUCUAAUCUAGCCUCUAUUCACAUUUGUCUAGUUACGAAACAACGCCACAA